RNAcentral lists this ribosomal RNA (497 nucleotides) under uncultured bacterium. RNAcentral describes it as "partial 16S ribosomal RNA". It matches the Rfam family "Bacterial small subunit ribosomal RNA", at positions 28 to 507 of the family's 1533-position model. The record is from RNAcentral.
GAUGAACGCUGGCGGCGUGCCUAAUACAUGCAAGUCGAGCGAACAGACGAGGAGCUUGCUCCUCUGACGUUAGCGGCGGACGGGUGAGUAACACGUGGAUAACCUACCUAUAAGACUGGGAUAACUUCGGGAAACCGGAGCUAAUACCGGAUAAUAUAUUGAACCGCAUGGUUCAAUAGUGAAAGACGGUUUUGCUGUCACUUAUAGAUGGAUCCGCGCCGCAUUAGCUAGUUGGUAAGGUAACGGCUUACCAAGGCAACGAUGCGUAGCCGACCUGAGAGGGUGAUCGGCCACACUGGAACUGAGACACGGUCCAGACUCCUACGGGAGGCAGCAGUAGGGAAUCUUCCGCAAUGGGCGAAAGCCUGACGGAGCAACGCCGCGUGAGUGAAGAAGGUCUUCGGAUCGUAAAACUCUGUUAUUAGGGAAGAACAAAUGUGUAAGUAACUAUGCACGCCUUGACGGUACCUAAUCAGAAAGCCACGGCUAACUACGUG